GCAGGAGCUGUGCCGCUGAGCUAAAUCCCCACCACCAGUGUCAAAGAUAAGUAAAAUAAUUGAACGUGUGUGCUAGUAAAGACCAAAAAAAAAAAUAGUGAAAGUAGGUACACAAAAACGAUACAAGCGAGUCCACCCAAGUUGCUAAAGUAUGAAUAACAAAGAGAUGUGAACAUACCAAGCAAGGAAGGAUCAUAUUCUACUAAAACUAGAGAGGAUGGAAAAAGCUUACUUUUCCUGUUUAUUUGAAAUGCUCCAGAUUUUAAGGGGAGAGGGCAAGACUAUGGAUGCGGAACUGGAUGUUUAAGGCUGGCACGGUGACUAGGCAAUCAGAGAGCAGGACACAGCAGAAGUACGCAGGAUUGGGCUUUCAAGCCUUUGACACCAGAUGCCAAGAGUGCAACUACAGGCGUAUAAAAAUUGUCAUCAAAGGGUUUUGUUUCCGCUUGAGAAAUACUGUCUGCAUUUUGGAAAGAUCUUGUGAACCCCGUGACAGUUUGCUUGGGCCAAGGUGUUGUUCUGUCACUGGGACCGGCGGCACACAAGGAAGGCACACUGAAGGAGACCAAAGUACAACAAACAGGAUACCGUCCGCCAUUCCUCCUGGAAGUCAUCUGUGGAAAAGGCUGUUUUUCCUCACAUAAUAAUGAAACUAAGGAUUCAAAAGACAAAAAGUGGUGCAGAGAGGGAGUCUCUUUAAGUGGGAUGUUUUUCCUCUAUUUGAGCACCAAGGAAGGGGACAAGGGUAGGGAGCAAAGCUACUUAGGAAAGGAUCAUAAACCAGGUCAUGCUGUGUUACAGUAUGGUUAUUUGUGACACACUGUGUUCUCUGGUGUCUUGUAAAACUCACUAUGCUUUUUUCUCAUUUUUUCACUAAAGACCAUGAAAUUUUUAGUAUAUAAAAUAAAUGAAAGAGAAAUUCAAAACUGAUAAGCUAACUGAGUCAAGUGUAGUGCUAUUAGUAGAUAAUACACAGGACAACUUUCUUUGUGUGUAGAAAAUUGACAGAAUAUAGUUUUUUUUCUUUUUUUAACCCAAAAAAUUAUAAUCUAUUUCUAUGUGGGCAAGUCAUUUCUUUAACUCAAGCCUAAACUGCUUUGCAAAUUUGUAAUUUAAAAAGAUGCACUCAUUAACUCCAGUUCUUUGUAACUUUCAAUGCCUUCAAAGCUUCCUUACAUCCUACCACAUGCAAAUGGCAAAAUAAAAAAUAUAUAAGUAACAUGGGUGAGAUUUAUGAAUACUUGUUUGCUUACAGAAUAGAGACAUUAAGUCACCACAAUUUGUAAAGCAAGUGGUACUAUAAAUUCAAGAAAUAUACAAAUUUUUAUUAUAUAUUCAAGCAAAGGUAGAAAGAUAAAAUCCUCCCAAAAGGAUUUAAUGAAGCUACCAUCAAAGACAGAAAGAAGUCUUGGGAAAGAAAUACUAAAGAGAAACAUUUUGAGUAUAUAGCAACUAUAAAAAAUUAUAAAUAAAAAUCAAAAUAUUUGUAAAUAUUUAAUAUAUGUGUAUGUUUUAAAUAUGCAUCCAUACAUAUAUGUGUAUGUAUAUGCCCACGUUUAUUUUCAUCCUUUUUAAUGACUUUCAGUUUGAGAGCAACUGGCUUUCUCAAAUGUUGGUGGAAGAAUAAAUUGAUAUGAACUCUAUGGACUAGAGUUUGUCAAUAUAUGUAAUUCCAGAUAAAUGACCAUAUGGAUCAAUAGCUUUCCUCUUUUCUUAUAAAUAAUGGAAAUAUAUUCAUUACAUAGCGAUGAGCAUAUUCAUUGCACUAUUUUUUAUGUUAGUAAAGGAUUGAAAUAACCUCUAUGUCCUCCCCAAAUGAAUAGUGAAAUAGAUCAUAAUAUAGCAUUUUCAUGAAAUUCUGCAGCUGAUAAACUGAAUUCAAGGCAAUUUAGAUUUGUACGCAUAUGAAAAAAUACCCAAUAUACCUUGUUAAUUAAAAGACAGUGCAUCAGACUACACAGCUUCCAAUUCUUUGUGAAAAAUGCAAUUAUGUAAUAUGGAAAUAAAGACAGUAUUUCCAAAAGACAAUAUUAAUACUAUUUUCUCAUUGAAAUCCAUGUGUGAGAGUUGGAGAUGGAAUGUUAAUCGCGCAUUUUUAUUUUUUGUAUUUUAGAGCUCUGAGAUCUGGGACUUUGCCCACUCUGAAAAGACUGCUCCUUUCAAAGCAAUGAAUUCUGGGAGAUGGAAAAUGGCCUGUUGGUGAGCACACGUCUCAUAUGCCAACAAAUCCAUCCGUAACCCAUAAAUCCAUCACUUGCUUUGUCUAGCCAGUAGAGCUUAAAAAUAAGACUUAUGCCCAAGAACCCUGGGAAUUAUUAAAAUUAGCCAAGCCUCCAUGGCCUGUCUCCUUCCUAUGUCUUGCCAGGGUCUUGCCAUCUUAUCCCUUCGCUCCUGUCCACAUUUUGGGUGGUGAAUGACUCCCACAGGCCCAUGUAUUAAAGGCUUCAUCCUCAGCUUGGCAUUAACACGACAUAGCACAAACUUUACAAGAUGAGCCCCGGUGGGAGGCCGUUUUACUCACACUCCUCGCUGUUGGGGAAAAACACCAGACAUUGCAAUUUCAAAGAGGAGGGCUAUUUUGGCUCCCAGUUUCAAAGGUUUCAGUGCUUGGCUGGCAGGCGCCAGGCAGGAAGAGCAUCCUGGAAGGGCCAGCCAUGUGGAAAGCUGCUCACAUCAUGGGAGCCAGGAAGCAGGGAGUGCAGAGAGGAGCUGGAGAGGGAUGCGCCCUUCCUGGUCAUGUUCCCAGUGAUUGCCAUCUGUAAACCAAGCCUCCCUUCCUAAGGGGAAGGUCAGCGAUGAGCGCAUCACUGGGUUGAUCCACAGCAUGACUAUUCUCCGAUUAUCUCCCGGAAGUCCCACUUCUGAGCUCACAAGGCUUUGGGGGAUGCUUCAGAUCUAAGUCUCAACAGUCUGCACAUGUUGUGGUGUGACGCUGCUCCUGAGAGCUGGAAAAACUCAAGAAUUGCAGCAUCGGUUGUCUCCUGAUGCAUUAGUAUCUCUAGAACUAAAUAGUAACAGUAAUAAUAAUAAUAAUAAUAAUAAUAAUAAUAUUUAAAGUAUGGCAGGGAAUUGGAUGUCUUUUAUAAUUGUAUGAAUAUUUUCACACUUGUGAAUGUCAUCUAUAUAAAAUAAACAAGGUAUACAAAAGAUGCAGGUAAAUAUCAUUACAGAAUCUCAGCAACCUCUCACAUAUCUGAAUGGUAGCCAAAAUGUGAGAAUAAAUGUCUACUGUUACAUAAAGGAAAAGAAAAGAAUAUGUCUUGGGAACAACUCAGCAUCAAAUGUUAAACUAUAGCUAUAAUAAAUCACAAGCAGCUAAUGCAUCUUUGCCAAUAAAAAUAGAAACUUUUUCCAUGAAGAAAAUGAGCACAGGAAAAAGCUCUGAAUAAGUGGAAAGAUAUACAUUUCUUACAUGUGUUUAUUUAUCAUUUAAAGAAAACAAUAUUUCCAUGCCCAUGAAAAAUCCAAUGCACUGCCUGUUAAAGUUCUUAUCAGUUGCUUUAACUCCAUAAGAAAGUUGGAGGGUUCAAAGCUAGCCACGCCAUAUUUAAAUAAGAUUAAGGAAAACUCUCAGUAUUCAACCUUGAGAAUUGCAACACGGACUACUUAAAAUGGUGUAUGGGAAUACAAUGAUGGAUUAAUUAAAGGAUUAAUUAAAGAAGGAAUUUGAAUGUAAUGAUGGAUUAGUUAAAGGAUUAAUUAAAAAAGAGUCUAAAACAUAUUUGUAAGGAGAACUGGAGUUUAAAUCAUUAAUAUCAGCAGGAAAGACAGUGCUGUAAGGGAAAGUCCUUAUCAAUGGAGAGCUGGAAGAAAAAUUAACUAUCUCAUAUUUGUUAGGAACAGAUUCCUGGAAUUUUGAAUCAAAUAUUGUAACUUUUAAAGUUUUAGAGGUUAAUAUUUGUAAAUAUGUUGAUGAUACUUGAGUUUCAUGAACUAUAAAGGAAAAGUAAAAACAAUUCUGACUUACUAGACCCAGCGUCCUCCCAUGUCCUAGAAUUAAAUUGUUCAGCUAAUUUAAGUUUCAAAAGAUCACGACCACUGUUCUAAAAACAAUUUAACUUAAUGUGAAAUACUUCUGAUUUGAACAAAAUUUUCAUAAGGAAAGGAAACAAGGCAGGAUUUUCUGAAUUUUAUAGGUGAGUAACUGAGCUACAGAGAAGAGAUUAAACUAUUUCCCUACCUGUGUGUAUUUAGGUUAUACUUUAAAAAUCAGAUAUAGACUAAAACUUAUAUUUUACUGAGCAGAAUAAUAUUUUCCAAAACUAUACCUGCCUGAAAGAGAAUGGAAAAAGGAUUCAAUCAUCAUAAAACAAAGAAAGGUGCCUCAAAUUUAAGAAUAUAAAAAUUGAUGACCCUCAUAUAUUCUGGUAUAGAGCAAAAUUUGAAUUCAGAGUAAAAUAUGAAUAUUAUGACUGCAUUUCCCACCCAAUCAUUUCAAGUUUGCUUUAGAACCAGCAUAAGAGACCUCAUAGCAAUGUUGAUAAGACAGACCUCUGUACACAGAAAACCUUCAAAGCAAAAUCUGCUGCAAUAAUUUAUUAAAAUAUAUAAUAGACUUGGAUUGUACCUGCAUUGUCUAGAGUCAGGAAGUCUCUUCCAUGUGUAUUUUACCUCUUUAAUUCAAUCAGAGGACCACAAAUAACCUUUACCAAAGGACAGGAUUAUUGAAGCUCUUAAAACUGUUUAAAGGAACACAGAGGCCCUCCUGUACUGACUUUCCC
Long non-coding RNA from Chinchilla lanigera (long-tailed chinchilla), 4721 nucleotides. NCBI's taxonomy places the organism in Eukaryota, Metazoa, Chordata, Mammalia, Rodentia, Chinchillidae. The record is from Ensembl.